AUCACUUCAUUUUCGUUCUCUCUCCCUUAACAAUCAACAAAUAAACAAACCACCACCAACACCAACACAAAGCUCUUCUCAUCUCUUCAUUUCUUUUCUCAACAAACCACCACCACCCAACUGUUUUCGCUAUUCUUCCUCUCUUUUUGCAAACCACCACCACCAACAACAAAAACAAAUUUGUUAGCUAUUCUUCCUCUUUCCGGUUUGUCCACACCACCACCAUUUUCUAACUCAUAUAUUUCUUUUCUACAAAACUCAUCUCAUUAUUUUUCAGAUCUAUUAAGUUGAAGAACAGAUCUAUCAUUUUUCACCUC
Molecule: long non-coding RNA, 317 nt
Filed under: Trifolium pratense (red clover)
Lineage: Eukaryota; Viridiplantae; Streptophyta; Magnoliopsida; Fabales; Fabaceae
Description: long non-coding RNA (TPRA_LNC003167)
Source: RNAcentral